RNAcentral lists this ribosomal RNA (362 nucleotides) under uncultured bacterium. RNAcentral's name for it is "bacterial SSU rRNA". It matches the Rfam family "Bacterial small subunit ribosomal RNA", at positions 976 to 1337 of the family's 1533-position model. The record is from RNAcentral.
AGCCCUUGACAUCCAGUGAACUUUCCAGAGAUGGAUUGGUGCCUUCGGGAACACUGUGACAGGUGCUGCAUGGCUGUCGUCAGCUCGUGUCGUGAGAUGUUGGGUUAAGUCCCGUAACGAGCGCAACCCUUGUCCUUAGUUGCCAGCACGUAAAGGUGGGAACUCUAAGGAGACUGCCGGAGAUAAACCGGAGGAAGGUGGGGAUGACGUCAAGUCAUCAUGACCCUUAUGGGCUGGGCUACACACGUGCUACAAUGGCCGGUACAGAGAGUUGCGAAGCGGCGACGUGGAGCCAAUCUCAGAAAACCGGUCGUAGUCCGGAUCGCAGUCUGCAACUCGACUGCGUGAAGUCGGAAUCGCUA